This 305-nucleotide ribosomal RNA is filed under the name uncultured bacterium. Its description in RNAcentral is "bacterial SSU rRNA". It matches the Rfam family "Bacterial small subunit ribosomal RNA", at positions 334 to 656 of the family's 1533-position model. The record is from RNAcentral.
UGGUCCUACGGGAGGCAGCAGUGGGGGAUAUUGCACAAUGGGCGCAAGCCUGAUGCAGCGACGCCGCGUGAGCGAAGAAGUAUUUCGGUAUGUAAAGCUCUAUCAGCAGGGAAGAAAAUGACGGUACCUGACUAAGAAGCCCCGGCUAACUACGUGCCAGCAGCCGCGGUAGUACGUAGGGGGCAAGCGUUAUCCGGAUUUACUGGGUGUAAAGGGAGCGUAGACGGCAGUGCAAGUCUGAAGUGAAAGGCAAGGGCUCAACCCUUGGACUGCUUUGGAAACUGUGCUGCUCGAGUGUCGGAGAG